Nicotiana attenuata is the source of this 107-nucleotide non-coding RNA. The record is from Rfam. Lineage: Eukaryota; Viridiplantae; Streptophyta; Magnoliopsida; Solanales; Solanaceae.
ACCAGAUCUACUCAUCUGGAAUCUGAUAAAAAUGGAAUGAUAUACAGAAGAUUAUCAUGGCCCCUACGCAAGGAUGAAGCACAAAUUGACAAAUGUGAAAUGUCUAA